GGUAACCGUAUGGCAGAGGCGGGGGGAAUAAGGAGGGGAUGAGCGUGAAUCGGAAUUAAUGGGCGGAAAGCGUGCGCAGGAGGUUAUAUAAGACAGAGGUGAAAUCCCCGGGCGCAACCUGGGAACUGCAUUGGUGGCUGUAUAGCUAGAGUACGGCAGAGGGGGAUGGAAUUCCGCGUGUAGCAGUGAAAUGCGUAGAUAUGCGGAGGAACACCGAUGGCGAAGGCAAUCCCCUGGGCCUGUACUGACGCUCAUGCACGAAAGCGUGGGGAGCAAACAGGAUUAGAUACCCUGGUAGUC
RNAcentral lists this ribosomal RNA (300 nucleotides) under uncultured Desulfurococcus sp. Its description in RNAcentral is "bacterial SSU rRNA". It matches the Rfam family "Bacterial small subunit ribosomal RNA", at positions 496 to 795 of the family's 1533-position model. Lineage: Archaea; Thermoproteati; Thermoproteota; Thermoprotei; Desulfurococcales; Desulfurococcaceae. The record is from RNAcentral.